RNAcentral lists this ribosomal RNA (460 nucleotides) under uncultured bacterium. RNAcentral describes it as "partial 16S ribosomal RNA". It matches the Rfam family "Bacterial small subunit ribosomal RNA", at positions 338 to 795 of the family's 1533-position model. The record is from RNAcentral.
CCUACGGGAGGCAGCAGUGAGGAAUAUUGGUCAAUGGACGAGAGUCUGAACCAGCCAAGUAGCGUGAAGGAUGACUGCCCUAUGGGUUGUAAACUUCUUUUAUAUGGGAAUAAAAUGUUCCACGUGUGGGAUUUUGUAUGUACCAUAUGAAUAAGGAUCGGCUAACUCCGUGCCAGCAGCCGCGGUAAUACGGAGGAUCCGAGCGUUAUCCGGAUUUAUUGGGUUUAAAGGGAGCGUAGGUGGAUUGUUAAGUCAGUUGUGAAAGUUUGCGGCUCAACCGUAGAAGUGCAGUUGAAACUGGCAGUCUUGAGUACAGUAGAGGUGGGCGGAAUUCGUGGUGUAGCGGUGAAAUGCGUAGAUAUCACGAAGAACUCCGAUUGCGAAGGCAGUUCACUGGACUGCAACUGACACUGAGGCUCGAAAGUGUGGGUAUCAAACAGGAUUAGAUACCCGUGUAGUC